AUACGGAGGGAGCGAGCGUUAAUCGGAAUUACUGGGCGUAAAGCGCGCGUAGGCGGCUUUGUAAGUCGGAUGUGAAAGCCCUUGGCUCAACCUGGGGAUUGCAUUCGAUACUGCAGAGCUAGAGUAUGGUAGAGGGAAGUGGAAUUUCCGGUGUAGCGGUGAAAUGCGUAGAUAUCGGAAGGAACACCAGUGGCGAAGGCGACUUCCUGGGCCAAUACUGACGCUGAGGUGCGAAAGCGUGGGGAGCAAACAGGAUUAGAAACCCCAGUAGUCC
Molecule: ribosomal RNA, 274 nt
Filed under: uncultured bacterium
Lineage: Bacteria
Description: partial 16S ribosomal RNA
Rfam family: Bacterial small subunit ribosomal RNA
Source: RNAcentral